This 254-nucleotide ribosomal RNA is filed under the name uncultured microorganism. RNAcentral's name for it is "partial 16S ribosomal RNA". It matches the Rfam family "Archaeal small subunit ribosomal RNA", at positions 474 to 727 of the family's 1478-position model. The record is from RNAcentral.
CACCGGCGGCUCGAGUGGUGGCCACUUUUAUUGGGUCUAAAGCGUCCGUAGCCGGCUUGGCAAGUCCCCUUGGAAAUCUGGCGGCUUAACCGUCAGGCGUCCAGAGGAUACUGCCAGGCUUGGGACCGGGAGAGGUGAGAGGUACCUCAGGGGUAGGGGUGAAAUCUUGUGAUCCCUGAGGGACCACCAGUGGCGAAGGCGUCUCACUAGAACGGGUCCGACGGUCAGGGACGAAAGCUGGGGGCACGAACCGG